This 279-nucleotide ribosomal RNA is filed under the name uncultured bacterium. RNAcentral's name for it is "partial 16S ribosomal RNA". It matches the Rfam family "Bacterial small subunit ribosomal RNA", at positions 506 to 784 of the family's 1533-position model. The record is from RNAcentral.
UGCCAGCAGCCGCGGUAAUACGGAGGUGGCAAACGUUGCUCGGAAUCACUGGGCUUAAAGGGCGUGUAGGCGGCAGAUCAAGUCGGAUGUGAAAUCCCUCGGCUCAACCGAGGAACUGCAUACGAUACUGGUCAGCUAGAGUGCGAGAGGGGUGAGUGGAACUCCAGGUGUAGCGGUGAAAUGCGUAGAUAUCUGGAGGAACGCCGGUGGCGAAAGCGACUCACUGGCUCGCAACUGACGCUGAGGCGCGAAAGCUAGGGGAGCGAACGGGAUUAGAUA